CCCGUCACGUCACGAAAGUUGGUAACACCCGAAGCUCAUGGCCUAACCGGUUUUCCGGGGGGAGUGGUCGAAGGUGGGAUUGGCGAUUGGGACGAAGUCGUAACAAGGUAGCCGUACCGGAAGGUGCGGCUGGAUCACCUCCUUUCUAGGGAGCCCUGUUGGGGAUUGCUGUGCUGUGCUGCUUGUGGGUGGUGUGGUGUGGUGGUUUCUUGUGCUCAUGCUUGGUCAUCAUGCGUUGUGUGUGGUGGGUGUGGGUGCGUUGUGGGGUUGGGUGUAGAUGAUGGACACGCUGUCGGGUUCACGGUCAAUACCUGUUGGCCGGUGGCCCUGCUGUGUUGUGGGGUUGUGUGGCUUGCUGGCUGCCUGCGCGCGUGUGGUUGUGUGUGGUGGUUGGUGUGGUGGGUUGUUUGUGAUUUGUAUAGUGGUUGUGAGCAUCUUUUUUGUUCUGUGGUUUUGUUUAGUUGUGUGGGGCAUUCGGUGGAUGCCUUGGCAUCAAGAGCUGAUGAAGGACGUUGCGGCCUGCGAUAUGCCUCGGGGAGUUGGCGAGCGAACUGUGA
RNAcentral lists this unclassified non-coding RNA (557 nucleotides) under Schaalia hyovaginalis. RNAcentral describes it as "contains 16S-23S intergenic spacer region". The stretch from base 1 to 145 matches the Rfam family "Bacterial small subunit ribosomal RNA", at positions 1393 to 1533 of the family's 1533-position model. The record is from RNAcentral. Lineage: Bacteria; Bacillati; Actinomycetota; Actinomycetes; Actinomycetales; Actinomycetaceae.